Molecule: ribosomal RNA, 99 nt
Filed under: Klebsiella pneumoniae subsp. pneumoniae ST512-K30BO
Lineage: Bacteria; Pseudomonadati; Pseudomonadota; Gammaproteobacteria; Enterobacterales; Enterobacteriaceae
Source: RNAcentral
UGGUCCCACCUGACCCCAUGCCGAACUCAGAAGUGAAACGCCGUAGCGCCGAUGGUAGUGUGGGGUCUCCCCAUGUGAGAGUAGGGAACUGCCAGGCAU